AUUUUUUAAAAUUUAAAGUUUGACUCCAGAAAAAGGUAGUCCACUAGACUUUCAAUUCAGCAAGUGUUUAUUGAUUGCUACAUGGGUAAUGCUAGGAAGAUACUAAGAUAUAAACAAUAUUUCCCACCCUGGGGAUGAUAUGAAUCUGGCUGCAGUACCAGUCACCACAUUGAUGGCCUGAAUUUAUUCCAUUGACCUGGCAGACUGGACUGGUGUUUCCUUAUUUUCUCAUGUGCAGUUUUCCUAAAGUUGUAUAUUCAGGAAGAAAAGCUUAAUUUCCUGGACUAUUCUGGACAUGUGAUUCAGCUGCCUCUGUUCUGCCAUUAGAAAGGUGUGUAAACAAAACUUAUGGGAACACCAGGGAAAGUUUCAUGGAGAAGGUUCUUUUUCAGCUUGACUUAGAAGGAUGAUGAUGUUGGGAUACUUGCAGUGGUUUUGUUAAUUAAAAGUUGAAAAAGGGUGUGAGGACAUUUCAAACAAAGGUAACAGUAAAAGCAAAUAGCAUGAAUUAGGUAAACAUCCAAAAGAUGAGAGAAGUGCAUGUGUGCACAGGAUUUUGGACUUUAAUUCUGUAGACCAGUGGUGAUUGUUUUUGCUUUUAAUUAUUUAAAAAAUGUUUGUGUCAAUUAUCAUUUAAUUGCCUCUGAGCUCUAUAUUCACCCUUUUUUGCUUGCUUUGUGAAAAUACUAACGGGCCCAUUAAAUGUUUUUUUCUUUAUCAGCUGGCGCAGUGUGAAGCUAUGUCAGUAGAGGGCUCUGGGCAGACAUUGCAAGAGCAAAGAGUUUUGCUUCCUGGUUACGGUGUGCUUGCUUGGCAGCUCCUGCAGCACACGGGCAGAUUCUCCAGCACCAUGUCCUGCCUGGCAGGGUAGUCAGUAGCACCCAUUGACCAGCAGCUUCCCUUGGCAUCACCUUCUCCCUUGAAUGGCUUUGUAGUAAAGUGUCUGGUGCGACACCUCUCCAUGACCUGCUUUCCCUGACAUCCUAGAGGACAGAUUUCUGGUAAAUUCCAAAGGGCAGAUUUCCAGCCAGUUCUGCCAGCACAGAAUCACAAGAAUUUCUCUGCUGCCUAGUGAGCCAUACCUGUGCCCUCCAAGAUCUGGGUCCUGGGCCUGGGGAGCCUUUUCCCUGGAUACUCUAUCCCAGCUCAAAGAACAUGGCUGCUACUUUAUUUGUUAUUCUUUUAUUCUUUAGAGUUUUCUUUACUUCUUACUAGCCAAUCCCUCAUUGUUCCAAUUCCCUGCUACAGUUAUUAAGUCUUUUUUUUUUUUUUAAAGAGUCUCACUCACUCUGUUGCCCAGGCUGGAGUGUAGUGGGGCGAUCUCAGUUACUUCAACCUCUGCCUCCUGGGUUCAAGCAAUUCUCCUGCCUCAGCCUCCCGAGUAGCUAGGACUACAGGCGUCCACCGCCACGCCUGACUAAUUUUUGUAUUUUUAGUGGAGAGGGGGUUUCACCAUGUUGAACUCCUGACCUCAGGUGAUCUGCCUGCCUCAGCCUCCCAAAGUGCUGGGAUUACAGGUGUGAGCCAUCGCGCCCGGCCAGGUUAGAAUAUUGUUAAAUCCAACUCUCUACUUACUCCUUCCUGCAUUAGAGAGCUGAGAGUGGCUACCAAAAUAUAUGCAACCUUGCUGACUGUUUUCACUUUAACUUUGUAAUUGUGACCCUCCAGUGGGUUCUACUGCUACCCUGAAGUCACUGCAUAUUUUCCAAGUUCACUUCCUCUACUCUUUUUCUAAAUGAUUAUUUUACAUCUUCUCCUCUCUUCUCAAACCUUCGAUCCCCCAUCCAACUAUUGACCUGACUUUUUAUUUCAAUGUCAAAAUAGUAGGUAAAGAGAGAAAUUUUAGUGGGAGACAAGGAAACUUUGGUGGGAGAGAAGGAAUUGCUGAUUUCUUGAGUAGAGGAGAGAGGACAGGAUCUUUUAUGCAAGUGGAAACACGGGUGUUAGCUGGGAACUGAAAAAGUUCAUCUGAAGUAACAGAAGAGGAGGCAGAGCACACAGGUUUCAUUUAAAUAUGACACCAUGGUUUGGAGUCCUAAGCCAUAAACAAUAAGCCAGAAUGAUUCUGCAGCUUUCAAAAGAAGAAAAGUCUGCAAACUUUGCAUGGAAACACACCACACAGCAUUUCUGAUGUCUUUACUGUCCCCUGGUCAUUGUCUUGUGCCCAUUGGAGGAGGCAUGUUUUAGGGUAUCAGUAGUGGAAGCAGGUGCAGCAGAAGUACAUCAGAGCCAGAUUAGGAAGUGAGGACAGAGUCAAGGGGCAAAGCCAACUUGUCGCAUGUCAGAACAGAAGAUGCCAAGAACUGAGAAGGGUGGAUUAUAGAUUUGGAGGCAUGGAAUGGGAGAACUAAUAUUAUAGGAUAAAACUGGAUGGCAAAGGCUGAAGACUUGGGGGUGUCAGGAAUAUUUCUGAAUUUAAAUGAUGGGUUCUGAACUAAUAAUUGUGGUUCAGACCCCAUUCACCAGAUUUGAAUGCAUCUCAGGAAGUAGGAGACUGGGGAGAAGAACUUUUAAAGAGCCACAUGCCUGCCUUUCUGCUCGGGUUCUGAGAUUCUUGAGGCAUUAUUGUCUCUGAAGGAAAUAAACAAUUGUUACCUUGUAAAGGUGUCUUUAUCCUCAGCACUAUUACAAAAUUUCAGGUGCAUGCAUGUAGCUACAAUCAUUGAGCAUCAUUCUGAUGUCCUUUGUGUAUCAGUCAUCUCUUAUGGUGACUUAAGUAUAAUGUCAAGGGUUCGGGUUAAGGCACUAGGUGGAACCAGAGUGGGAGAAACUGCUCCUUAGGAUGGAGGAGGCAGCAGUCCAUUAACCCAGGGGUUUCACGAACUGGACCAUUAUUUUUUUCUUUUUCUUUCUUUUUUUUUUUGAGACAGUGUUCUUAUUUUGUUGCCCAGGCUGGGGUGCAGUGGUACAUGGACCAUGAUAUUCUUAUCAAAGGACAUUUUGUCUGGUGGGUUGGAGCAAUAUUUGGCAGAACUAUGGUUUAAGAAAUCAUCUCAGAGAGCAGGAGGUGAAUGGGGAGAGGCUGAUGAGAAAAAGGCAUAAAUGAGAAUUCCUAGGUGAGCUAGUAAUGUUCUGGGCUGGAUUAAGUGUGAACUUGCAGAGUUAAGUGGAAAACCAGGGCAGGCAGGUUCUUAAUCUUAUGGGCUGGGCCAGCAAGAUGCAUAGUAGGGGGAGGCUCUUGUCCAGUACAGUGGAGGGCUGAUAUGGUUUGGCUGUGUCCCCACCCAAAUCUCUUCAUGAGUUGUAGUUUCCAUAAUCCGCAUGUGUGGUGAGAGGGACCUGGUGGGAGGUAAUUGAAUCAUGGGGGUGGUUCCCCCCUGCUAUUCUUGUGAUAGUAAGCUCUCACAAGAUUUGAUGGUUUUAUAAGGGGCUUCUCUUUUUGCUUGGUUCUCAUUCUUCUCUC
Molecule: long non-coding RNA, 3403 nt
Filed under: Homo sapiens (human)
Lineage: Eukaryota; Metazoa; Chordata; Mammalia; Primates; Hominidae
Description: HSALNT0022802
Rfam family: 7SK RNA (bases 131-306)
Source: RNAcentral